Ictidomys tridecemlineatus (thirteen-lined ground squirrel) is the source of this 778-nucleotide non-coding RNA. Lineage: Eukaryota; Metazoa; Chordata; Mammalia; Rodentia; Sciuridae. The record is from RefSeq and is a predicted model, not a curated record.
CUUCUUUACUCAUUCAUCGACUCAUUCCUACAUUAUUUAUUGAAUAGCUAUUAGGAGCUAGGUACAAAAUAAAACAAAUAAAAGAACCCUGCUAGCUUUCAUUUUUAGCAGGGGAAGAGGACCAAUAAAUAAUAAGCAUAAUCAAUAAAGUAAGUCAGAAGGAAGUAAAUGCUAUGUAAAAAAGAAAUAAGAGAGCCAGAGGGAGGAGUGGAGCUGAGAAGGAGGACAGGCUGCCGGUUGCAGCAGGACGCUGAAUGAGAAUGAGAAAGUGAGGAUUUGAGCAAAGACGGAAGGAGGCUGUGGACCUGGUCUUGCAGAUGGAAAGAUGGAGUUGGGAUCUGCGAAGAUGAAGCAGGUUGGAACUGGAGCCGGAUUCCGCAUUUCCCAGCCAGCUCCACUGAUUCCAUUCCUGGAUUCAGGAAGAGUCGGGAGAUGGAGGCGCCCCCAUCCCAGUGAGACCCCAGACCCCUACUUUUGUGACAGGACUAGGAAAAUAGGCCCGAGGCUCCAUCAGUGACCUAGGGGACAUCUGAAGAAGAGCAGAAGGUGCUCUCAGUGAGGACAGUGAGCCCUGGUUGUCUGCGAGAUGGAAAGCAUGAGGUUGUGUGUUCUUGCAGGGGGCUGCGUGAGCCAGGAGCCCUGAUGCCAGUCCUGCAGCAAGACUUCACUGUCCCGAGAACUUGGGCAGGUCAUUUAGUUUCCUCAUUGGUAAUAGGAGGACAAUGUCAGCUAUUUGAAUGGUUCUUGUUUGAAAUAAAAAGGCUCCCUGCAAACAGAA